UGGUGGUUUGGUCAGUGUCAGCUCGGUAGGCAUGGUGGGUGCGACGUACGACGGCCUGUUAUCCUUCUACCAUCAAGAGCGGGAGGUUGUCGAUGCUCUGUGAAGCCAGCCUGACGCGGUGCCCUCCGCUUUAGGAUCCUAUGAGACUUAGGCCUUCGCCAAGAUCACAUAGAACAUCUGCCUGACUUAGAAUGGGCGAGCCGAGUAAUGUGCGGCCGCACCCAACCUACUCGAGCACAACAUGCCAUUCCACAACCGAUCGCCCCCGCUCGGGUUACAAGCCAACGCUAACGGGCUCGGCGAUCGAGGCGCUUUCACAGCAUCAUAUCAGGCCAAACAAUUUGUCAAAACAAGUGAUGUGGGACCAAGAAUGUUGUAACUGUUAGUGUAAACAACUUUAUGUCGUGUCCUCGAGCCGACGCGGUUUGGUUGGGGGUCCGAAUGACGAGGAUCUUGCGCGGCGUCCCUCGAGAUCUCCCAGUGGCCGAUUACGGUGGUCCGGUCGGGACGUCGCGUCGGGAGGAAAGCUUUGCCGUAGCGCCGGGAAGAGGCGACCCCGUUCUUGCACCUGCACACAGGUCGGGUCGGAAGCUCGGCCCGACCCCUCCGACGAUCAAGUUAGUGGAUAUGGAGGGGGUUUUAGGUGAAUAAGUGCUCUCUUUUUCUCCUCCCUUUUCGUUUAGAACUCGGUGGUAUUUAUAGGUGAGUUUAGUGUUACCUGAUGUGUCUGCCCGCAGGAGCAGAAUCGUACCUCUAAUGGCGUCUGACAUUGCCGUUGGCAUUGCGUGGAGAACCGAACUGCCGCAGGGCAUGGGUGAGCCUCGAUCGCCGUUCUCCUCUGCCUUGGCCAAGCAUGUUGGGUCAGACAACGAUGAAGUCGUUGUCUGGGAGCGGGUGACGUCAGCGCACAUCGCGUCAGCAUUACUGCCCUAUUUGGGGUAGAGUGUCGUCCAGACAUGGCUGACGUCGUGACGCGUCAUGUCGCCAUUAUUAUCCUCAUCAGUAACCACUGAUGCUUCUCCUUAGCGCGCACCAAAUGCUUUGGAUGCUGCUGUAACUAACUGUGCGCCUAGUACGUUUUGGAAGACACGCGAAUUGAACUCCACUGGAUUGUACUCCGCCCUGAAUGAUACAAACCCAAAUGCUAGAGAUUUUAAUCUCUGAAAUUAUUAGCAUCGAGUUGAAAUUUUGUCAUAUAUAUACAAGUUGAAAUUUCUAUCAGAAUUGAGUAUCGAUCGAAGGCCUCUCAUAUAUGUUGCUUUUUUAAUUUUAUUUUUUCCUUUUACAAUUCUUUCUUAUAUAGUUCAUGCUAGUUGAAUAUUAAGAAAACAACAGAAACAAUAAUAAUAAUUAUUAUUAACUAUCUAUGUAUAUUAGAUAGUUGAAAAGAUACACUAAAAUCUCAUAUUCAAGAGAUAUGAACUUGAAUAACCAAACGGUAUAUGAGAAUACAUAAUAUUAAGAAGAUUACCUUAAGAGAUCUAUACAAAAUCUAAAAAACAAACAUAAAUAGUGCAAAUCAAUGAGUGCAUAAAGACGAUGUUUACAACUCUCAAAUUUAUUAUCAAUGAAGUAAAAUUGUAUUAUAAGCAUCAUAAAAAAAAAUCAUAGAGGGCAUGUGUCCCUAGUUUAUUUAAGGGUGAGGGAUAGGAUGAUAGCUUAAACUUGUAUAAAGAAAAAAAACUAAAAACAUCUUAUGAUAUAAUAAAAACUAAAAUCACCAUAGGUUUAGAUGAUUAUACCAUUAAAACAUAUAUGAAUAUUUGGGAUCAUUCCACUUACCAAAAAAGGUGGUGGUUUGAUAGGCGUUAACCCUGUGGGUACGGUGAGUGCGGCGUACACCGGCCUGUUAUCCCUCCACCGUCAAGAGCGGGAGGUGGUCGCUGCUCUGUGAAGCCAGCCUGACGCGGUGUCCUCCGCUUUAGGAUCCUAAGAAGCUCGAGCCUUCGCCCGGGCCGCACGGCUCAGCUGCCUGACUUGGAACGGACAAGCCGAGUAUAGUACGGUCGCACCCAACCCAGUCGAGUUAAACACACCAUCCCACCGCCUCAAGGCUCCCGCUCGGGUUACAAGCCCACGCUACCGGGCUCGGCGAUCGAGGCGCUUUCGCAGCAGAAUAUAACGUCUUUGAUUCUUUUAGAAUUGGCGAUGUGGGACUAAGAAUUGUGCCAACCCGCCACCGAUUCAUCCACCAGCAAAAUGCUUUGGAGGAUAACACAAACUGCAAGUGCCCCAAGAGAAUUGGAUUGCGCACGAACAGCUUCUUUCUACUCCAACGCCCCGAAUGAUGCAUUCAUGGCCAAACUGUGUUGUUCAUGGAUGCAGAUCGAAAAGCGCUAAGUAAUCCCCAAAGGUAAGAAUACGUUUGAUUGUCUUACGAUACAACCUUACCCUAUUAGAAAUUUAAUCUCAUAAUCUAAUAAUACUAAAAGAACAAAAAAGAGAAUCCAAUUACAGAGAAAAGGAAUGAUAAAAAAGUGGGGUCUGAUCGAUGUUAGCUUGCCGAGCAUGGUAAGGUGUGGCUUCGACCAGUCUGCCAUCCCUUCCACUGUCGAGAGCGGGAGGUACUCGUUUCUUUGUUAGGAUGCGUAUGACUCGAGUCUUCGCCUGGAGUCACAUUGCUCAAUUUCUUGACUCAAAAUGGGCAAGUCGGGGUUGGGUGGGUCAAACCUAACCCAAUCAAGCACAACACAUCAUUCCACCUCCUUCAUGCCCUCACUCAUGUGACAAGCCUGUGCUACGAGGCUCGACAAUUACAAGUAUUUCACAGAGUAAUAUAAAGGCAUAAAAAUAGGUAAAAACUAGCAAUGUGGGACGAAGAAUAGUGCGACCACUUUCCCCUCCUCCCUUUGCAGAGAGAUUCACGAACCAAAUGCUUUCGAGAGGGAACAUAGGCUUGGAUGGUGUAUUUGUCCACCUGUUUUUAUUUUGGAGAAAGAAUUCAACUGCAUUGUAAACGUAAAACUCCUUCCUACUCCCCUCCUCAAUGAUAUAUAAAUAUUUAGAAAAAAACUUUAGUUUUCAAAAAUUCUCCAUCUCAACUUUUAAAAAUAUAAACAAAGUACCUAUUUCGUGCAUUAAAACAUCGUUUUAUCUCUACUUUUGUCGGAUCCAUUAUUACCUCAACCCUAUAUCAAUGCUCUAACUCUUUUCCCCUUUGCUAAGAACAACAAUAGAGUAGGGGGUCACGAAUCCUUGGUACUUUGUGUCUUCACACACGAGUUGACUUACGCACUUAGCCAUGCUUUUAUCUUGAACAGUCAUCCAUUACCCACAGCAUUGUUGAUCGCCUUCAUGAGUGGGCCCAGCCAAACUCUUUCCCCGCCUAUGAUCGAUGACGAGGGGUGCUUAUGGGCGAUUGCGAGGGUACACAGUAUGCCUCCCCUCCUUCCUCACCCACGAACAAUGAUGAGUGAAGGCAUAGGGGUCGUGGCCCUUGGUUCUUCAUUUGCAAUCGAUAACGAUAGAGUUCAAAUAUAUAUUGUAUAGCUUAAUAUUUUCAAAGUUACGAUCGCCUAAUAUUUUUUAAGAAUAUACAUAUUUAGAAUUUUUUUAAAUCUAAGAUCUAUAUAAUAUUUAUUUAUUUUUAAUUAGUUUAGUCCUUCUAUUCAAAGAUACGAACUUGAAUAAUCGAUGAUAAAAUAAGACAUAAUAUCAUGAAAAAUAAAAAAAUAUUUUUUUAGAAAAAUUAGAAAACCAUAUUAAUUAGUAAAAGCUGAAAAAAAAUAUUAGCAUCACCAUGGGCUAAGGAGUUACAAAUCCUAUGAAAAAUCAAUUUAAACUAAGCUAUGUUGAAAUUGCAUAGUUGAUCCUUUCUAAUCCCACGUCAUUGGGUUUUAGAGGAUAAUGUGAUGGGACAUACCAUGGUACUUCAGCAAAGCGGAGCUUUCUUUCUAUCAUUUAAUAGUCCUAUGCGUUGUAUCUUACUAUUAUUUUUAAUGCGAAAAAGUGGUGGUUUGGUCAGUGUAAGCCCGAUGGGUAUGGUGGGGGCGGCGUGCAUCGGCCUGUUAUGCUUCCACCGUCAAGAGAGGGAGGUUAUCGCUGCUCUGUGAAGCCAGCCUGACGCGGUGUCCUCCGCUUUAGAAUCGCAUGUGACUCAGGCCUACGCCAGGACCGCACUGCGAAGCUGCCUGACUUGGAACGGGCAAGCCAAGUCUGGAAAUCACCGGACCCAACCCAAUAGAGCUGAACACAACAUCCCACCACAUCCUUGCCCCCACUCGGGUUACAAGCCUGCGUUACUGGGCUCGGCGAUCGAGGGCCUUCCGCAGCCUCAUAUAACUUUUUGCGAGACUCUAAAUAUUGGCGAUGUGGGACUAAGAGCACUUCCUCCGCUCCCUCCUUUCCCUUUCCGAAAAUUCAUGCACCGCGUGCUUUCUGAGAGAACCCGAAUUGCACCCAAACUUUCGAUCAUGGUUCUUACCACCUUUUCAUCACCUAAAACUAUUUCAUCGGCAAAGAGGCCAUUUGAAUAAGGUCACUAUUCAAAAGCUUAAGAAUAAGGUUACUAUUUAAAUGCUCGAGUUUUUAGAAAAUAAUAAAGUAGAAGAUAUCAAUAGAAUUGUGUUAAUCAUCACCUCUUUACUCUAACGUUUAUCAUCUUUAUAAAAAUUAUCAAAAGAUAAAAGGUGCUUCAUCUCCUUCUCUUUGAAGUUUAUUUUUAGGUUGCCCUUCGUCCUUGUACAUUUUUCAAUGAUAAAUCAUAUAUAAGAUUUAUGACCCAAUGAGCUAUCUCCUUUCAAGAUGAGUCUAUCAAUAUUAAUAUCAAUUUGUCUCUCUGUGACUCCUGAGGUCGAGGUAAGUGUUCUUGGUGCUUAAGGAUGAAUCGCGCAAGAUAAAUCUGAUGUAUGAAUUCUUCAAUAUCCUUUUUCAAGUCUCGAUAUUCAUUUGUGUCAUGGACGUAAUUCAGAUAGAACCGAUAAUAUUUAGAUCCGUCUUUUUUUGCCAAUGAAGUAUUCAUCGAGUGAGAGUCUUUUAAGAGUCUCUUUCCUUUUAUCGGUAGAAAAAAACUUUAAUUCUAAGCAUAUUCAAGGGGGUUAGCUCAGACCUUGGGCGAGGUAACUCAAGUCGUUCGUUCUUCCUCUAUUGUGAUGACCUCGGGGUCGGGGUGGACUAUAGUUGCUCUUACUUCGACCUCUUGUGCGGCUGACUCUUUACGCUUACCAGAUAUUAUUAUCCUGAUGGUAAUAUAUUGAUUGACUCUUUGAAGUGCCUGUAGUAUUGUCGCCGAUGACCUCUCCACUAACGACGAGAAGAGAUGAGAGGACUUGAGACUCAUCAUGAAGGUUUGUAUCAAGAGUGACGAACGGAUAUACCACGCUUUGGAUUUUAUUAAUGAAACUAAGUGAUGAAGUUUGUAAGAAUUUCCUUCAAUUGCAUGAAUACGAGAAGCAUUGACAUUGCUAGCCUCGGGUGCACAUUCCCGAUGAAGUGAAAUUCAAACUUCCUCGUGAACUAGGUAAUGAAACUGAUGGAGAGUGGCUUCAGAUAUAAGUAUCAUUCUCGUGUUAGGUCUCUUAAUAUAGUCGAGAAUGUGUGACACAUCAAGGCAUCCGAAGUGUCAUACAAUAAUAUUUAGGCAUGGAAAGUUAUAAUGUGCUCCAUUGGGUUAGCAUUGCCAUCGAAUGCCUCCAACGACGGUGGUGGAAGAUUGUUAGAAUCGAUUCUUCCUAAAUUUUCUAGAUAAAUGAUGACCGACUCGAGGUGGAGUUAACCAAUGCUUCCCUUUUGGAUUAUUAAAAUUUUUAUCAUAUCUCCUUCAAACGAUGAUCCAUCUAUCAUAGUUGGAUUUGCAAGGAAUCCUUCAUCAAAUUCGUCGAUCUAGUCUCUGAUUUAAGCAUGAUAGAAUCGUGAUAUGGAAUGCUAAAUUUCAUGAUUAUGGAGCGAAGUGCUCUCUCGGCCAUGAUUCGAUAGGUUUUGGGUACUUUUAGGAUGUAACACUAUGUUGGAUGGGGGAAAGUUGAUGGGUGCUAGUGGUGGGUGAGCCAGUGACAACAACUGAGUUAGUGGCGUUGUCUAUUAAGCUAACUAGGGUAAAUGUUAGAGAUUUUAAUAUAUAAAAGAAGUUUUAUAUUUUAAUAUAUAGAAUAUGCAUACUUGCAAGGCAUCUUAUGUUUGUCAAUUGUUGUCACCCCUUUUUUCUUAUUUAAGAUCCCUUCUGAUUUUUUUAAUCAUAAUUAUAUUUUUACUGUUUUUUAAUAUUUAAUUCCUUCCAUCGAAAGAAAUGAACUUGAAUAACGAGAUGAUAUAAUAAAAGACACAAUAUCAACAAAAAUUUCUCAAGACCUACAUAAAGAAAAAACAAUUCUUUGUAAAAAGAGAAAAAGCUAUAUUAAUUAGCAAAAACUAAAAAAAAACGAAGAGCCGUUAGUAGCCUCCGAGGAAGAACAAAAAGUGGGUCAGCCUAUAAAAGUUGGCGUUGCCAUGGGGCUAAGGAGUUACAAAACCUAUCAACAACCAAUCCAAACAAACCAUGCAAAUCAACAACUAUACAAAGAUGAAUGAUGAUCUUAUUAAAUAUUAAACUUAAUAUUUAUGAAGCAAAAUGAAUGUGCUUGUCACAAUAAAAUCAUAAGAGUUCACGAGUGCUUAAGUUUUUUUUACGGCUAGAAUAAUGGAAUAGAUAAAACUUUGGUCGAGCUUACGAACAUAAAAAACGAAAAAAAAAUUAAAAUUUUGGUUAUGUAAAAGCUCAAUAAGAGUUCAAAAUUGGUUAAACUAAUCAGUGUUGCCCAUUUGUGACUGACAUCCACACGAGAUAGCCGAUUAGUUAUUUUUUAUUACUGGAAUAACGUGCAUCUCGACACUGCACAUUGACAAAGCCGAGCGCAUACCUUCCAUUGUCAAAAUCAACUAUGCUAAUGAUCAUGUUAGUGCGAUGGGUUCACUCUGUCAUUUGCCUACGCAUACAAUAUAUACUUUAGAAAACACAGAUAUAUUGAAAUUGCAUAGUUCGUCGUGAUCCUUUCUAAUCCCACACCAUGGGCCUUUAGCGGAUGAUGAGAUGGGACAUACUUCGGUAUCUCAGUAAAGUCAGAGCUCAUUCCUUAAAGGUUUUAUUAUAUUAAUUAUUGAGAGAUUAUAGAUUUUCUUUUAUUUUUUUUUGUUUUUAAUACAUCGCUCGUAGUAGUCUUAUGAAAGAUAAAAAGAGAAGAGAAUACGACUACAGUAGUAGCGACAACUAUAGCUUCAUCGCUACCACUAUGGUGAUUGUUGUAGCUUGUUGUGAUUGUAGCAUUAUCGUUGCUUAGGGCAACUACAACAAUGUCGUUGCGGCAUUUGUUGGCCAUGGCUGUUGAUAAGUCGCAUGCGAAGAGCUAUGCAACCACGAGCGAUGCAGGCGACGAAUGACCAGUGCACCAUCAACAAGACCUGCAAGUGUGGGCGUAGUGGGAUGCGACGACGACAACAACAUGAGAAUUUGAUUUUUUUUAAAGCACAUUUUUGUACCUCGAAUGCAUCUUGAUAUAAGAAAAUCAUAUCUCCUAAGGGCUCUUCACUGAUUUAAUCACCCGAGGAGAAGCACAAGUAAAAUUCUCCUACAUCAUUAGAAUCCAUGAAGUGAUAUAUAACACGAAUUACGAUCAGACCUAAACAAAAGAGGAAUCUCUCGAGCGACAUAACAAAAAUGAAUCCCAUAUUUGCUCUUUACAAUCAAUCUUUUGGCAUUCACUAAAAGUUAGACUAAUUUAGUUGAUAAAAAUCUUCGUUGUAUUUUUUAAAUAUUAUUAUAAAAAUGAAUCCCAUAUUUGCUCUUUACAAUCAAUCUUUUGGCAUUCACUAAAAGUUAGACUAAUUUAGUUGAUAAAAAUUUUCGUUGUAUUUUCUAAAUAUUAUUAUCAGUGUUGUCCCUCUUGAGAUAAAAAAAAGAAAUCGGUGUGCAAAAAGUGGUGGUCUGGUCAGUGUUAGCCCGAUAGGUACGGCGGGUGUGGCGUGCACCGGCCUGUUAUCCUUCCACCGUCAAGAGCGGGAGGUUAUCGCUGCUCUGUGAAACCAGCCUGACGCGGUGUCCUCCGCUUUAGGAUCCCAGAUAGCUCGGGCCUUCGUUCGAGCCACAUAGCUCAGCUGCCUGACUUGGAACGGGCAAGCCAAGUCUAGCACGACCGCACCCAACCUAUUCGGGCUGAACACAACAUUCCACCACCUUAUUGCCCCCACUAGGGUUACAAGCCGGCGUUACCGGGCUCGGCGAUCGAGGCGCUUCCACAACUUCAUAUAGCCUGUCAGUGAAUCCUAAAAAUUGGCGAUGUGGGACUAAAAACGCUCCCUCCUUUUUCCUUUCCGAACAUUCGUGCACCGCAUGCUUUCCAGGAGAAACCCGAAUUGCAUCUAAAGUUUCGAUCAUGGUUCCCCACCACCUAAAACCAUUCCAUCCCCUUCGAACAGACCAACAGAAGAUGCCCUGCAGACCCCUCCAGAUUACCCGACUCCUAAUCUUGAAACCUCGAAACCCAAUGCUCUCCUGCAUCGGGGAUUCAACAUGUUUCGAGCUAAAUUUCUCCUACAUCAGCUGACCGCAAUGCUGUAACUUUGGUGAUGAUGAAGAGGUGUAAGCUGAUAAAUGCUAUAACAAUGCCCGAAUACGUUGUCGGCCUCGUUGCAGAAGAGGAUCGACUUUUAGAUUGUGAAUCUGUGUCUUUGAACAUAGAUGCGCUAGCAUGUAUAUAAACCAUUACUUCUUAAUUCGAUGACAUUAAUAAAUAUAAUUGAUACGUCAUAUUUUGGCCUCGAAGACAUAUCAGGUCAGAAUCCAUACUAAGGCACUGCUUGACACGUCACAUCUUGGGAACCACAAGACACGCCAAGUCAGAAUCCAUACUAAGGCACUGCUCGGCAUGUCACGCCUCAGGAACCCCGAGACGGCGCCGCCCCCAAGACACGCCAAGUCAGAAUCUGUACUAAGGCACUGCUCGGCACGUCUACCAUGCCAAACCUCGUACGACUGACCCACGUACAAUAAUAUAAAGACCUCUGGCCGGCAUCUGGCUAGGAGGGGAAAAAAGGUGGUAAAAUCAAUUGAUCACUCUACUGACUUGUUCGUCAGAGGGUUCUCGUCGGGAAUCACCCAACGAGGGCCAUUUUUGAAGGAAAAUGCAGCCACCUCACGAAGACGAGCUACCAACCACCCGAGAAUCCCCAUCCAGUGCACGAAGGAGAGCAGCCAAUCGGUCCAUAUCCUAAACAAUGCCAACCAGUACUCCUUCUCGAGGGCUUGACCACCUCACGAAGAUGAGCUGCCAACCACCUCAGAAAAAGAGAGACGUAGCUCGACAUACACGACGCUCGGAUCGGCACACCAAGGAACACUGAUCAACACCCCAUUGCAAGGGCCCGAUAGACCUCGAUAUCCAACUCAACCGAUAGAAGACUCCCGACAUCGACCCGUAGACCAGGCUGUGCUAACUCACAAGCCACAGCACAUUUGUUUACUAACAUUUUGACGCUAGAAGGAGGGCAUGUCGCAAGAGCAACAGAUAGGGGUCCUCCCCGAGGGAGAACCACCGACCGACCUCCCUUUUGUUAAACCAAAAAGUCAGGCCUUCCCCACCCCCGGAGACAGGAGGAUCCCGGCUUCGAUGCUAGAUCGCUACUGUCGUCUGUUCAACGACCCGGGAUUGUCACCCCCGAGGCUCACCAUAGGGCCCUCGGUCGUGACACCCGAGGCAUUCCUUAGCCUAACCAAGCAAGUACAGGCCAUGGCGGGCAUGAUGUAGACGCUCGCUCCAAUCAUUCCUCAGAUCGUGCGGCUAGCGACGCCCCCGACCGACCCGUCCCAACAGCGACCGAACAGGGAGCAGGUCGGGACUGGAGAAGCCCAAGAGCAAGCAACGGACUCGAGAGGUCCGCCCGAGUAGAGCAUACUCGCACCCUGCCGAAUCACACCGCUCCACUCCGAGCCCGACACCAUAUCGUCCGACUCGGUGGAUGACUCGUUCAGGAUCCAGUUGUCUCGGAUCAACCAACGCUUGGAUGAGUUCCAGCGCGAGUUCCAGAAAUCGCGAUGCAAGUCGAAUGAAGGCGGCUCGGGCGAAUCGCCUUUCACUCAGGAAAUACAUGACAAGCCUGUACCACUCGACUUUAGGUUGCCCACAUUAGAGAUGUACGACGGCGGCUCUGACCCCGCAGAGCAUGUCGUCAUGUUUCGGGCUCAGCUAUGGCACCUCCAAUGCAUUGAUGUGUCGGGAAUUCCCGACCACCUUCAGGGGCCAGCACGAGCGUGAUUCAACCGGCUGCGCCAGUCCUCAGUCUCAUCCUUCGACCAGCUCACAAGGGAGUUCGAGCAAAACUUCCUCACCAACGUGCAACCCAAGCCUUCUAUCGCUACACUGCUGGCGUUAUCUCAACACGAGGAUGAGUCGCUCUCUCAGUUCGUGGCACAUUUAGCCACCGAGAUCUAUGAAUUUUCGGACGCUCAUCUCUCUCUAAUAAUGCAGGUGUUUCUGAUGGGCUUGAAACCUUCAAGGUUCUUUUGGUCACUAAUCGAGAAGCCUCCAGUAACCAUCCCCGAGAUGCUCCAAUGCGUCAACCAGUACAUCGCCGCCAAAGCUCUGGUGGUGGGAAAGUGCAUGGACAGCAAGAGGCCAAGGGCGAAACAAUCCCGGGGAACGACUUCCGUAGCCCCAGUGCAACCCCGCUAGAGGCUUGACUGACAAGAGCUACUGCUCCUGAGGCCCCCGCCUCUCCCUCUGAGCAUGUUCCACCAGGACUAUGACCACGGCACGGAAGAUUGCUGUGACCUCCAGAAUCAAAUCGAGGACUUGAUCCGAAAAGGUUAUCUCAAGUGCUAUGUCAAGGAAACCCGAGAAGCAACUCCAUGUCCUAGGGGACCCUUCGAAAGACGCCUCAUCAUCCAAAAUAUCAUGUCGAAAAGCCACUCGCGACAAGAGGUCCACAAGCUCGCCAGAUCGGUUCCCGACCUGCGACUCGCCGACCCAUCUCUUGCCUGAGCCGCUCUAGAUCGGUUCCCGACCUGUGCCUUGCCGGCCCAGCUUUUGCCCAAGUUGCUCCAGAUCAGUUCUCGACCUGCAGCUCGCCAGCCCAGCUCUUGCCCGAGUUGCUCUAUAUCGAUUCCCGACCCGCGGCUCGCCGGCCGAGCAUUUGUCCGAGCCGCUCCAGAUUGGUUCCCGACCUAUGGCUCACCGGCCCAGCUCUCAUUCGAGUCGCCCCAAAUCGGUUCCCGACCUGCAGCUCGCCGGCCCAGCUCUUGCCCGAGCCGCUCCAGAUCGGUUCCCGUCCUGCGGCCCGUUGGCCCAGCUCUUACCCAAGUCGCUCAAGAUUAGUUCUCGACCUCAGGCUCGCCGGCCUAGCUCUUGCCUGAGCCGCUCUAGAUCGAUUCUCGACCUGCGGCUCGCCGGCCUAGCUCUUGCCCAAGCGGCUCCAGAUCGGUUCUCGACCUGUGCCUCGCGGGCUCAGCUUUUGCCCGAGUCACUCCAGAUCGGUUCCCGACCUACGGCUCGUCGGCCCAACUCUCACCCGAGUAGCUCCAGAUCGGUUCUCGACUUGUGGCUCGCCAGCCCAACUCUUGCCCGAGCCACUCCAGAUCGGUUUCCGACCUGCGGCUCGUCGGCCCAACUCUUGCCCGAGUUGCUCUAGAUCGAUUCCCGACUUGCGGCUCUCUAGCCCAGCUCUUGCCCGAGCCAUCCAGAUCGAUUCCUGACCUGCGGGUAGCCAGCCCAGCUCUUGCCCAAGCGCUCUAGAUAAGUUCCUGACCUGUGCCUCGCUGGCCCAGUUCCUGCCCGGGUUGUUCCAGUUUGCUCCUGACUUUCGAUUCGGAGUCGAGCUUACUCACUUGGUCCCCAGAUUCAAUUCGGAGCCGAGCUUACUCACUCGGUCCCCAUAUCCGAUUCGGAGCCAAGCUUACUCACUCGGUCCCUAGGUUCAAUUCGGAGCCGAGUUUACUCACUCGGUCCCUAUGUUCAAUUCGGGGAGCCGAGCUUACUCACUUGGUCCCCAGAUUCAAUUCGGAGCCGAGCUUACUCACUCGGUCCCCAUAUUCGAUUCAAAUUCGAGCUUACUCACUUAGUCCCUAGGUUCAAUUUGGAGCCGAGCUUAGUCACUCGGUCCCUAGAUCCGAUUUAGAGCCGAGCUUACUCACUCGGUCUCCAGAUUCGAUUCGGAGUCGAGCUUACUCACUCGGUCCCCAGAUCCGAUUCAGAGCCGAGCUUACUCACUCAGUCCCCAGGUUCAAUUCGGAGCAGAGCUUAGUCACUCGGUCCCCAAGUUCAAUUCAGAGCUGAGCUUAUUCACUUGAUCCCCAGGUUCAAAUCGGAGAUAAGCUUAUUCACUCGGUCCCUAGGUUUGAUUCGGAGUCGAGCUUACUCACUCGGUCCCCAGGCUUAAUUCGGAGCCGGGCUUACUCACUCGGUCACCAGGUUCAGUUUGGAGCCGAGCUUAGUCACUCAAUCCCCAGGUUCAAUUCAGAGUCGAACUUAUUCACUCGAUCCCCAGGUUCAAAUCAGAGAUGAGCUUAGUCACUCAGUCCUCAGGUUCAUUUCUUGCUCGGGUCGCUCCAGAUCGCUCCCGACUUGCUACCCAUCGACACCGAAACCCGAGCCCGAGCUCGGUCACUCGACCCAUAGGCCCAAUCCAGUGUCCGAGCCACGCAUCUCAGCCAAUCCAACGCCCGAGUCGCAUCUCGGCCAAAUCCAAUGCCCGAGUCGCAUCUCGGCCAAAUCCAGCAUCCGAGCCACGCACCUCGGCCAUCCAACACCCGAGCCACGCAACUCGGCCAAUCUAACGCCCGAGUCGCAUCUUGGCCAAAUCCAAUGCCCGAGUCACAUCUCGGCCAAAUCCAACGUCCAAGCCACACACCUCGGCCAUCCAAAGCUCGAGCCACGCAUCUCGGCCAAUCCAAUGCCCAAGUCGUAUCUCGGCCAAUCCAAUACCCAAGUCGCAUCUCGACCAAAUCCAACGUCCAAGCCAUGCACAUUGCCCAUCCAAUGCCCGAGCCACGCAUCUCGACCGAUCCAACACCCGAGUAGCAUCUUGGCCGGUCCAAACGCCCGAACCACACAUCUUGGCCGAUCCAAUGCCCGAGCCAUACCUUGCGGCCAAUCUUAUGCCCGAGUCACAUCUCGAUCGAUCCAACGCCCGAAUCACCGGCCUAGUCUGUUAAUCCAAGUCGCUCCACGUCAACCCCUGACUAGCUACCCGUCAAGUCUCUAAACCGAGCCACCCCGGCUCGCUCGCCAACUUGCAAACUCGGCAGUUGUAACACCAAGUCGUGCCAAACCCGUUAUCUAACCUACGACACGUCGGUGUCGCCUCGUCGGUUUCGCCACGUCGGUUUCGACACGUUGGUUUUGCCUCGUCAGGCCCCUGCCUCCUGAUCAGUAGAGUCGAUCUUGCACGAAGCAUGGGGCGCUACCCUUCUAAAUCGCCCCAUGACGAGUUAAUCCAACUUCCCCUCAUGAACGAUCAGCCUCACUUCGAAGUAUCAUAUAAUAAUAUUUGGGCAUGGAAAGUUAUAAUGUCCUCCAUUGGGUUAGCAUUGCCAUCGAAUGCCUCCAACGACGAUGGUGGAAGAUUGUUAGAAUCGAUUCUUCCUGAAUUUUCUAGGUGAAUGAUGAUCGACUCGAGGUGGAGUCAACCAACGCUUCCUUUUUGGAUUAUUAAAUUUUUUAUCAUAUCUCCUCUAAAUGUCGGUCCAUCUAUGAUAGUUGGAUUCGCAAGGAAUCCUUCAUCAAUUUCGUCAACCUAGCCUCUGAUUUAAGCAUGAUAGAGUCAUGAUGUGGUAUGUUAAAUUUAUGGUGAUGGAGCGAAGUACUCUCUUGACCAUGAUUGGAUAGGUUUCGGGUACUCUUAGGAUGUCAACAUUAUGUUGGGUGGGGGAACAUUGAUUGGUGGGUGAGCUAUUGGGCUAACUAGCGUAAAUGUUAGAGAUUUUAAUAUAUAGAAUAUGCAUACUUGCAAGGCAUCUCAUGUAUGUCAAUUGUUGCAACCCCUUUUUUUUCUUAUUUAAGAUCCCUUCUGUUUUUUGAAUCAUAAUUAUAUUUUAACUGUUUUUUAAUAUUUAAUUCCUUCCAUCGAAAGAAAUGAACUUGAAUAACGAGAUGAUAUAAUAAAAGACACAAUAUCAACAAAAAUUUCUCAAGACCUACGUAAAGAAAAAAAAAUUCUUUGUAAAAAGAGAAAAAGCUAUAUUAAUUAGCAAAAACUAAAAAAAACGAAGAGCCGUUAGUAGCCUCCGAGGAAGAACAAAAAGUGGGUCAGCCUAUNNNNNNNNNNNNNNNNNNNNUCAACUAUGCUAAUGAUCAUGUUAGUGCGAUGGGUUCACUCUGUCAUUUGCCUACGCAUACAAUAUAUACUUUAGAAAACACAUAUAUAUUGAAAUUGUAUAGUUCGUCGUGAUUCUUUCUAAUCCCACACCAUGUGCCUUUACCGGAUGAUGAGAUGGGACAUUCCUUGGUAUCGCAGUAAAGUCAGAGGUCAUUCGUUAGAGGAUUUAUUAUAUUAAUUAUUGAGAGAUUAUAGAUUUUUUUUUAUCUUUAUUUUUUAUUUUUAAUUCAUUACUCAUAAUAAUCUUAUUAAAGAUAAAAAGAGAAGAGAAUGGGACUACAGUAGUGUUGUUGUGGGCGACAACUAUAGCAACAUCGAUACCACUAGGGUGAUUGUUGUAGCUUGUUGCGAUCGUAGCAUUACCGUUGCUUAGGGCAACUACAGCAAUGUCAUUGCGGUAUUUGUUGGCCACGGUCGAUGUCAACUAGACGUAAAAGACCAUGAUACUCAGCGGUUGCAUGACAAACUCGUAAGUAUUAGUGGGUGCCACAAUGACUAUGUGGUUGCUAGUUGAUACAAAAUCACGUAUGGCUGCGAUGACGAUGAGGUCGUUGAUUAGUCACAUGCGAAGAGCUAUGCACCGGUAACGAAUGACUAGUGCUCCAAGUGUGGGCAUAGUGGGAUGCGAUGACAACAUGAGAAUUUUUUUUUUUUUUAAGUAUAUUUUUAUCUUGAUAUAAGAAAAUUAUAUCUCCUAAGGGCUCUUCACUGAUUUAAUCACCUGAGGAGAAGCGCAAGUAAAAUUCUCCAGCAUCAUUAGAAUCCAUGAAGUAAUAACGAAUUACGGUCAGACCUAAACAAAAGAGGAAUCUCUGUGGCGUGCACCGGUGUGCAAAAAGUGGUGGUCUGGUCAGUGUUAGCCCGAUAGGUACGGCGGGUGUGGCGUGCACCGGCCUGUUAUCCUUCCACCGUCAAGAGCGGGAGGUUAUCGCUGCUCUGUGAAACCAGCCUGACGCGGUGUCCUCCGCUUUAGGAUCCCAGAUGGCUCGGGCCUUCGUUCGGGCCACAUAGCUCAGCUGCCUGACUUGGAACGGGCAAGCCAAGUCUAGCACGACCGCACCCAACCUAUUCGGGCUGAACACAACAUCCCACCACCUUAUUGCCCCCACUCGGGUUACAAGCCGGCGUUACCGGGCUCGGCG
RNAcentral lists this long non-coding RNA (15419 nucleotides) under Musa acuminata (dwarf banana). Its description in RNAcentral is "long non-coding RNA (MACU_LNC005013)". Lineage: Eukaryota; Viridiplantae; Streptophyta; Magnoliopsida; Zingiberales; Musaceae. The record is from RNAcentral.